This 506-nucleotide ribosomal RNA is filed under the name uncultured bacterium. RNAcentral's name for it is "partial 16S ribosomal RNA". It matches the Rfam family "Bacterial small subunit ribosomal RNA", at positions 28 to 523 of the family's 1533-position model. The record is from RNAcentral.
GAUGAACGCUAGCUACAGGCUUAACACAUGCAAGUCGAGGGGUAACGAGAGGAAAGCUUGCUUUCCUUGUCGACGACCGGCGCACGGGUGAGUAACGCGUAUCCAACCUGCCCCCAACUAGGGAAUAACCUUGCGAAAGUAAGACUAAUACCCUAUAAUUUCCUCAGAUGACAUCUGACGAGGAAUAAAGAUUUAUCGGUUGUGGAUGGGGAUGCGUCUGAUUAGCUUGUUGGCGGGGUAACGGCCCACCAAGGCAACGAUCAGUAGGGGUUCUGAGAGGAAGGUCCCCCGCAUUGGAGCUGAGACACGGUCCAAAAUCCUACGGGAGGCAGCAGUGAGGAAUAUUGGUCAAUGGGCGGAAGCCUGAACCAGCCAAGUAGCGUGCAGGAUGACGGCCCUAUGGGUUGUAAACUGCUUUUAUACAGGAAUAAAGUUAGCCACGUGUGGUUAUUUGUAGGUACUGUAUGAAUAAGGACCGGCUAAUUCCGUGCCAGCCGCCGCGGUAA